GGGAAAAAACUGAACUCUGAUCUAUUAUAGGUUUACCAUGGUCUACCAAUAUUUGCUUUGGCUAAAUAUUAUAUCCACAUAUGUCUAGAUAAGCACAGAUUUCUGUCUUUUAUAUUUAAUCAAUCCUGAAUCCUGUUCUGCAUAUAUUGGCAAAACAGGUUCAAAUGCAACUUCCAUUGCACACGUCAUUGGCUUUAUUCUAAAUCCAAUCUAGUGUAAGAGAGCAUAUAAUUAAGCAUAAGCAGGGGAUUGAUGCCUCAAAGUUGGUGGAUGUUGCAUCUUUCCUGUGCCAGUGCCUUACCAGUCCAUCAGAACACAACUAAUAAUCUAAUAUCUUUAGAAAGCAUUAGGGGAUUGAU
This 359-nucleotide unclassified non-coding RNA is filed under the name Hevea brasiliensis (rubber tree). The record is from RNAcentral. Lineage: Eukaryota; Viridiplantae; Streptophyta; Magnoliopsida; Malpighiales; Euphorbiaceae.